RNAcentral lists this ribosomal RNA (494 nucleotides) under uncultured bacterium. RNAcentral's name for it is "partial 16S ribosomal RNA". It matches the Rfam family "Bacterial small subunit ribosomal RNA", at positions 28 to 507 of the family's 1533-position model. The record is from RNAcentral.
GACGAACGCUGGCGGCGUGCUUAACACAUGCAAGUCGAACGGAAAGGCCUGCUUUCCCUUGUGGAUUGCGGGUACUCGUGUGUCGAACGGGUGAGUACCACGUGUGUCAUCUGCCUCCAACUUGGGUAUAAUCCUGGGUAACUGGGUCUAAUUCCCGUUAGGUCUGCAGGGUGGUGCCUGUGGUUUAGAAGGAGUUUCUAGUGGUUGGGGAUGAGCUUGCGGCCGAUCAGAUUGUCGGUGGGGUAAUGGCCUACCAAGGGGGCGACGGGUAGCCGAGCUGAGAGGGUGGGCGGCCACAUUGGACCGGAGAUACGGCCCAGACUACUACGGGAGGCAGCAGAGGGGAAUGUAGCAUAAGGGGCGGAAGGCUAAUGCAGCGACGCAGCGUGGGGGAUGGCGGCCUUCGGGUUGUGAACUCCUUCCGUUCGAGAGGAAGCCACGUGGUUGGAAGGGUGGUGACGGUAGUGGUAGAAGAAGCACCGGCUAACUACGUG